Molecule: ribosomal RNA, 253 nt
Filed under: uncultured bacterium
Lineage: Bacteria
Description: partial 16S ribosomal RNA
Rfam family: Bacterial small subunit ribosomal RNA
Source: RNAcentral
UACAGAGGUCUCAAGCGUUGUUCGGAUUCAUUGGGCGUAAAGGGCGCGUAGGCGGCGGGGUAAGUCGGGUGUGAAAUCUCAGAGCUCAACUCUGAAAUGGCACUUGAUACUGCUCUGCUAGAGGACUGGAGAGGAGAUUGGAAUUCACGGUGUAGCAGUGAAAUGCGUAGAUAUCGUGAGGAAGACCAGUGGCGAAGGCGGGUCUCUGGACAGUUCCUGACACUGAGGCACGAAGGCCAGGGGAGCAAACGGG